This 550-nucleotide ribosomal RNA is filed under the name uncultured fungus. Its description in RNAcentral is "eukaryotic LSU rRNA". The stretch from base 198 to 351 matches the Rfam family "5.8S ribosomal RNA". The record is from RNAcentral. Lineage: Eukaryota; Fungi.
UCGUAACAGGUCUCCGUAGGUGAACCUGCGGAGGGAUCAUUACAAGAACGCCCGGGCUUCGGCCUGGUUAUUCAUAACCCUUUGUUGUCCGACUCUGUUGCCUCCGGGGCGACCCUGCCUUCGGGCGGGGGCUCCGGGUGGACACUUCAAACUCUUGCGUAACUUUGCAGUCUGAGUAAACUUAAUUAAUAAAUUAAAACUUUUAACAACGGAUCUCUUGGUUCUGGCAUCGAUGAAGAACGCAGCGAAAUGCGAUAAGUAAUGUGAAUUGCAGAAUUCAGUGAAUCAUCGAAUCUUUGAACGCACAUUGCGCCCCCUGGUAUUCCGGGGGGCAUGCCUGUUCGAGCGUCAUUUCACCACUCAAGCCUCGCUUGGUAUUGGGCAACGCGGUCCGCCGCGUGCCUCAAAUCGUCCGGCUGGGUCUUCUGUCCCCUAAGCGUUGUGGAAACUAUUCGCUAAAGGGUGUUCGGGAGGCUACGCCGUAAAACAACCCCAUUUCUAAGGUUGACCUCGGAUCAGGUAGGGAUACCCGCUGAACUUAAGCAUAUCA